RNAcentral lists this non-coding RNA (22 nucleotides) under Arabidopsis thaliana (thale cress). The record is from RNAcentral. Lineage: Eukaryota; Viridiplantae; Streptophyta; Magnoliopsida; Brassicales; Brassicaceae.
UAAACAGAGAAAGAGAUAGAGG